This 481-nucleotide ribosomal RNA is filed under the name uncultured bacterium. Its description in RNAcentral is "partial 16S ribosomal RNA". It matches the Rfam family "Bacterial small subunit ribosomal RNA", at positions 30 to 506 of the family's 1533-position model. The record is from RNAcentral.
AUUGAACGCUGGCGGCAUGCCUUACACAUGCAAGUCGAACGGUAACAGGUCUUCGGAUGCUGACGAGUGGCGAACGGGUGAGUAAUACAUCGGAACGUGCCCGAUCGUGGGGGAUAACGAGGCGAAAGCUUUGCUAAUACCGCAUACGAUCUACGGAUGAAAGCGGGGGAUCUUCGGACCUCGCGCGGACGGAGCGGCCGAUGGCAGAUUAGGUAGUUGGUGGGAUAAAAGCUUACCAAGCCGACGAUCUGUAGCUGGUCUGAGAGGAUGAUCAGCCACACUGGGACUGAGACACGGCCCAGACUCCUACGGGAGGCAGCAGUGGGGAAUUUUGGACAAUAGGCGAAAGCCUGAUCCAGCCAUGCCGCGUGCAGGAUGAAGGCCUUCGGGUUGUAAACUGCUUUUGUACGGAACGAAAAGCCUCUUUCUAAUAAAGAGGGGUCAUGACGGUACCGUAAGAAUAAGCACCGGCUAACUACGU